Molecule: long non-coding RNA, 2078 nt
Filed under: Homo sapiens (human)
Lineage: Eukaryota; Metazoa; Chordata; Mammalia; Primates; Hominidae
Description: HSALNT0378076
Source: RNAcentral
CAAAAGCCCCCUGACAUAGCACUCUUGUCAUACUGAGACUAAGGUAGAAAAAGACACUUCCAAAGGGUGUCAAUGACAAGAGAGAAAUAGACAUAGAGUGGUCACUUCAUUUACCAACCCUGGAACCGCAGACCUCUGGGCUUCCUGACGAAAGCUGCCCACCAAAUAUGAACAGAUAGGAACCUCGUGAUCUUUUGGGGCUGUCAUCCUUCUCUCAGUCUGCCAGUAACUGGGAUCCUGGCAUUUAUCCUGGAGGUCCCUGAAGGUCCAAGAGGGAACAGAGGAAAUCUGAUUGGCACAGGGGCCGCAGUGACUGUGUCCAGUCCUUCCUCACCCCGCUGCAGAGUCAGUCCAGGAGGCCUUUACCCACAGCACUGCCACCUCCCUCCACGACCCCUGUCUUUCUCUUCCCCAGAUUAAACGCUCCCACUUCUCUCCAUUCUUCUUUCUCCACCCCCAGGCCCAUUUCUGCCUCGGUUGCCUGCCUCCAACCACAAUCCAGUUUUUUGGCUCCCAGAGACAGACAUGCCCAGAUCUGAACACCACCCACCUGGGUAUGUUCUGCCAGUGUGCAAGGUGGGGCCCUCCAGGCCCUCUCCUCCCCUCCCUUUUUCUAGAUGCCAUUUCCUGCUAAAGCCACCUCUCCCAUGGCUAUAAACUACCUUCAAUCAGGGCACGAACUCUAGAGCACAAGAGAACCUGAGAUUCUUUAAAACAUUCUAGUUUAAUGUCCUCGUUUUACAGAUAAAGAAAAUGGGUACGGCCAAGACCAUAGACCUAGUGAUUGUCAGAUGAACAAUUAGACCCACAGAACCAUCCAAGCUACAGAGGACGCAUUCUGCCUUCCCUUGGAUCCUGUGGUUUGAGGAUGGAGGUCUAGGACCGUGGCAGGCUUUUUGUCCCAUGAGGGAAGGCCAUGGAGCUGAGGAAGGGGAAGAACACACACACCUAAUGGAAUCUCGAGAGAAAGUUCAGACAUCAAAAGACAGAAGCGACAGAGACCCAGAUGGAGUCUCACCCAGCCUGGAGUACAGUAGUAUGAUCUGCAACCUUUGCCUCCCAGGUUCAGGCGAUUCUCCUGUCUCAGCCUCCGGAGUAUCUGGGAUUACAGGCACGUGCCACCACGCCCGGCUAAUUUUUUGUAUUUUUAGUAGAGAUGGGUUUCACCGUGUUAGCCAGGAUGGUCUCGAACUCCUGACCUCGUGAUCUACCCGCCUUGGCCUCCCAAAGUGCUGGGAUUACAGGCAUGAGCUACCGUGCUCGGCCAUGCCUGGCUAAUUUAUAUAUACAUAUAUAUAUAUAUAUAUAUUUUUUUUUUUUUUUUUUUUUUUUUGAGACAGAGUCUUGCUCUGUCACCCAGGUUGGAGUGCAGUGGCAUGAUCUCGGCUCACUGCAAGCUCGCCUCCCAGGUUCACGCCAUUCUCCUGCCUCAGCCUCCUGAGUAGCUGGGACUACAGGCGCCCGCAUGACGCCCGGCUAAUUUUUUGUAUUUUUAGUAGAGACGGGGUUUCACUGUGUUAGCCAGGAUGGUCUCGAUCUCCUGACCUCGUGAUCUGCCCACCUCAGCCUCCGAAAGUGCUGGGAUUACAGACAUGAGCCACCGCACCCAGCCUUAUAUAUAUAUUUUUUAUUAGUGAAGAGGUUUCGCCAUAUUGGCCAGACUGGUCUCGAACUCCUGACCUCAGGUGAUCCACCCACCUCGGCCUCCCAAAGUGCUGGGAUUACAGGUGGGAGCCACCGCACCCUGCCUAAAAUGCAAAAGAUUUUGAAUGGCGAGAAUGGCGACAUGAUGCCACAAGUGGAAAAUUCCACACCUGGCUGCAUGUAAUGGGUUGAAGUCAAAAUGCAGUCAAAAACUUUGUUUCAUGUACAAAAUUAUUAAAAACAUUGUAUAAAAUCACCUUCAGACUAUGUGUAUGUGAAACCUAAGUGAAUUUAAUGGCUAGACUUCAGUUGCAUUCCCAAGAUCUCUCAUUAUGUAUAUGCAAAUAUUUUGAAAUUCAACCUGGUUCCACACAUUUUAGAUAAGGGAUACUCAAGCUGUAAUUAACAAAUAAACUUUUCACAGUCCAAGCAGC